CCUACGGGAGGCAGCAGUGGGGAAUAUUGGGCAAUGGGCGCAAGCCUGACCCAGCAACGCCGCGUGAAGGAAGAAGGCUUUCGGGUUGUAAACUUCUUUUCUCAGGGACGAAGAAAGUGACGGUACCUGAGGAAUAAGCCACGGCUAACUACGUGCCAGCAGCCGCGGUAAUACGUAGGUGGCAAGCGUUAUCCGGAUUUACUGGGUGUAAAGGGCGUGUAGGCGGGAAAGCAAGUCAGAUGUGAAAACCAUGGGCUCAACCUGUGGCCUGCAUUUGAAACUGUUUUUCUUGAGUACUGGGGAGGCAGAGGGAAUCCCUCGGUGAGGGGGGAAAGGGGUAGAUAGGAGGAGGA
RNAcentral lists this ribosomal RNA (353 nucleotides) under uncultured bacterium. Its description in RNAcentral is "partial 16S ribosomal RNA". It matches the Rfam family "Bacterial small subunit ribosomal RNA", at positions 338 to 705 of the family's 1533-position model. The record is from RNAcentral.